CUCUCAUCUCCUUCAAGCUUUGUGACUCCAUGGCAAGGGAAGAAGAAAUACAUUUUUCUCUCAUCCUCUUCAAACCGUACGAGAACACUCCCUCCAUGCCCAUUUUCAGUUUUGCCACAAAGCUUAUUUUCAUCUUCAAAAGGGUGACAUCUUGAAGGGAUAACACAGUGCUAUUAUUUUGCUCUUCAUCCACAUGACUAUUUCACUAUUUGGUCUUCCACUUGUGUUUUGAAAGGAGAUAAGAGCUUAAGGUAAUGACGAAAAGGCUAGGGAGCAAGGCACUACUGUAGAGGGAGAGGUAGACGCUUAGUCUCUUCCCUAACUAGAACAAUUAUGUUUAUGGAUGA
Molecule: long non-coding RNA, 347 nt
Organism: Juglans regia (Persian walnut)
Lineage: Eukaryota; Viridiplantae; Streptophyta; Magnoliopsida; Fagales; Juglandaceae
Exons: 3
Source: RefSeq, a predicted model, not a curated record